This 365-nucleotide ribosomal RNA is filed under the name uncultured organism. Its description in RNAcentral is "bacterial SSU rRNA". It matches the Rfam family "Bacterial small subunit ribosomal RNA", at positions 526 to 896 of the family's 1533-position model. The record is from RNAcentral.
CGGAGGAUCCAAGCGUUAUCCGGAAUCAUUGGGUUUAAAGGGUCCUAGGCGGGUUUAUAAGUCAGUGGUGAAAGCCCAUCGCUCAACGAUGGAACGGCCAUUGAUACUGUAGAUCUUGAAUUAUUAGGAAGUAACUAGAAUAUGUAGUGUAGCGGUGAAAUGCUUAGAGAUUACAUGGAAUACCAAUUGCGAAGGCAGGUUACUACUAAUGGAUUGACGCUGAUGGACGAAAGCGUGGGUAGCGAACAGGAUUAGAUACCCUGGUAGUCCACGCCGUAAACGAUGGAUACUAGCUGUUCGGAGCAAUCUGAGUGGCUAAGCGAAAGUGAUAAGUAUCCCACCUGGGGAGUACGUUCGCAAGAAUG